RNAcentral lists this ribosomal RNA (464 nucleotides) under Vreelandella stevensii. RNAcentral's name for it is "partial 16S ribosomal RNA". It matches the Rfam family "Bacterial small subunit ribosomal RNA", at positions 339 to 795 of the family's 1533-position model. Lineage: Bacteria; Pseudomonadati; Pseudomonadota; Gammaproteobacteria; Oceanospirillales; Halomonadaceae. The record is from RNAcentral.
CUACGGUACUCUGCAGUGGGGAAUAUUGGACAAUGGGCGAAAGCCUGAUCCAGCCAUGCCGCGUGUGUGAAGAAGGCCUUCGGGUUGUAAAGCACUUUCAGUGGGGAAGAAAGCCUUGGGGCUAAUACCCUCGAGGAAGGACAUCACCCACAGAAGAAGCACCGGCUAACUCCGUGCCAGCAGCCGCGGUAAUACGGAGGGUGCGAGCGUUAAUCGGUAUUACUGGGCGUAAAGCGCGCGUAGGCGGUCUGAUAAGCCGGUUGUGAAAGCCCCGGGCUCAACCUGGGAACGGCAUCCGGAACUGUCAGGCUAGAGUGCAGGAGAGGAAGGUAGAAUUCCCGGUGUAGCGGUGAAAUGCGUAGAGAUCGGGAGGAAUACCAGUGGCGAAGGCGGCCUUCUGGACUGACACUGACGCUGAGGUGCGAAAGCGUGGGUAGCAAACAGGAUUAGAUACCCUAGUAGUC